This 253-nucleotide ribosomal RNA is filed under the name uncultured bacterium. RNAcentral's name for it is "partial 16S ribosomal RNA". It matches the Rfam family "Bacterial small subunit ribosomal RNA", at positions 524 to 776 of the family's 1533-position model. The record is from RNAcentral.
UACAGAGGUGGCAAGCGUUGUUCGGAUUUACUGGGCGUAAAGGGUGCGUAGGUGGUCGCUCGUGUCGGGUGUGAAAGCCCACGGCUUAACCGUGGAACGGCAUUCGAAACUGGGUGACUCGAGUACAGGAGGGGAGAGCGGAAUUCUUGGUGUAGCGGUGAAAUGCGUUGAUAUCAAGAAGAACACCGGUGGCGAAGGCGGCUCUCUGGAAUGUUACUGACACUGAGGCACGAAAGCUGGGGGAGCAAACAGG